RNAcentral lists this long non-coding RNA (202 nucleotides) under Homo sapiens (human). RNAcentral describes it as "non-protein coding lnc-SOCS5-4:10". The record is from RNAcentral. Lineage: Eukaryota; Metazoa; Chordata; Mammalia; Primates; Hominidae.
AAAAAACAAAAACAAGACAUGUGAGCUUGGACUCCAGUGUGGAAUCCCAUGUCCGCUCAGUGCACCUUUCUGCCGCUGAAAGUACAAGAGGAGAGGGGAAACCCACAGGUGGAGCUGACCAUGAGGACUGUCACAGCUUUGAGAGGCAAAUCCAGAAAUCAGCCCUCCAGCUUCCUCUACCAAGAAGACUGGCGGUUACAAC